ACGCACGCUGGCGGCGUGCUUCACACAUGCCAGUCGAACGGAAAGGCCCUGCUUUUGUGGGGUGCUCGAGUGGCGAACGGGUGAGUAACCCGUGAGUAACCUGCCCUUGACUUUGGGAUAACUUCAGGAAACUGGGGCUAAUACCGGAUAGGAGCUCCUGCUGCAUGGUGGGGGUUGGAAAGUUUCGGCGGUUGGGGAUGGACUCGCGGCUUAUCAGCUUGUUGGUGGGGUAGUGGCUUACCAAGGCUUUGACGGGUAGCCGGCCUGAGAGGGUGACCGGCCACAUUGGGACUGAGAUACGGCACAGACUCCUACGGGAGGCAGCAGUGGGGAAUAUUGCACAAUGGGCGGAAGCCUGAUGCAGCAACGCCGCGUGCGGGAUGACGGCCUUCGGGGUGUAAACCGCUUUCGCCUGUGACGAAGCGUGAGUGACGGUAAUGGGUAAAGAAGCACCGGCUAACUACGUG
Molecule: ribosomal RNA, 467 nt
Filed under: uncultured bacterium
Lineage: Bacteria
Description: partial 16S ribosomal RNA
Rfam family: Bacterial small subunit ribosomal RNA
Source: RNAcentral